CCUACGGGUGGCAGCAGUGAGGAAUAUUGGUCAAUGGACGGAAGUCUGAACCAGCCAUGCCGCGUGCAGGAAGACGGCUCUAUGAGUUGUAAACUGCUUUUGUACAAGGGUAAACCUGAAUACGUGUAUUCAGCUGAAAGUACUGUACGAAUAAGGAUCGGCUAACUCCGUGCCAGCAGCCGCGGUAAUACGGAGGAUCCAAGCGUUAUCCGGAUUUAUUGGGUUUAAAGGGUGCGUAGGCGGAUUGAUAAGUUAGAGUUGAAAUGUCAGAGCUUAACUCGGGAAUUGCAACUAAUACUGGUGAUCUAGAGAGUAGAUGCGGUAGGCGGAAUGCAUGGUGUAGCGGGGAAAUGCUUAGAGAUCAUACAGAACACCGAUUGCGAAGGCAGCUUACCAAUCUAUAUCUGACGUUGAGGCACGAAAGCGUGGGGAGCAAACAGGAUUAGAUACCCGGGUAGUC
RNAcentral lists this ribosomal RNA (460 nucleotides) under uncultured bacterium. RNAcentral's name for it is "partial 16S ribosomal RNA". It matches the Rfam family "Bacterial small subunit ribosomal RNA", at positions 338 to 795 of the family's 1533-position model. The record is from RNAcentral.